This 253-nucleotide ribosomal RNA is filed under the name uncultured bacterium. RNAcentral's name for it is "partial 16S ribosomal RNA". It matches the Rfam family "Bacterial small subunit ribosomal RNA", at positions 524 to 776 of the family's 1533-position model. The record is from RNAcentral.
UACAGAGGUCUCAAGCGUUGUUCGGAUUCAUUGGGCGUAAAGGGUGUGUAGGUGGCGCCGUAAGUCGGGUGUGAAAUUUCGGAGCUUAACUCCGAAACUGCAUUCGAUACUGCGGUGCUUGAGGACUGGAGAGGAGACUGGAAUUCAUGGUGUAGCAGUGAAAUGCGUAGAGAUCAUGAGGAAGACCAGUGGCGAAGGCGGGUCUCUGGGCAGUAACUGACGCUGAGGAGCGAAAGCGUGGGGAGCGAACAGG